CCUUUCGACCGAGAUGAAGAGACGCCCAUCUAACACAUGGGCGUAUUGACAGUAUCGAGGGAAGCAGCCCCGGCUAACUCUGUGC
RNAcentral lists this ribosomal RNA (85 nucleotides) under uncultured bacterium. Its description in RNAcentral is "partial 16S ribosomal RNA". The record is from RNAcentral.